Molecule: ribosomal RNA, 926 nt
Filed under: uncultured Bacteroidota bacterium
Lineage: Bacteria; Pseudomonadati; Bacteroidota
Description: bacterial SSU rRNA
Rfam family: Bacterial small subunit ribosomal RNA
Source: RNAcentral
UGGAUCCAGACUUUGAUUCUGGCUCAGGAUGAACGCUAGCUACAGGCUUAACACAUGCAAGUCGAGGGGAAACGAUAGAGAAAGCUUGCUUUUUCUAGGCGUCGACCGGCGCACGGGUGAGUAACGCGUAUCCAACCUGCCCACCACUUGGGAAUAACCUUGCGAAAGUAAGACUAAUACCCAAUGACGUCUCUAGAAGACAUCUGAAAGAGAUUAAAGAUUUAUCGGUGAUGGAUGGGGAUGCGUCUGAUUAGCUUGUUGGCGGGGUAACGGCCCACCAAGGCGACGAUCAGUAGGGGUUCUGAGAGGAAGGUCCCCCACAUUGGAACUGAGACACGGUCCAAACUCCUGCGGGAGGCAGCAGUGAGGAAUAUUGGUCAAUGGGCGAGAGCCUGAACCAGCCAAGUAGCGUGCAGGAAGACGGCCCUAUGGGUUGUAAACUGCUUUUAUAAGGGAAUAAAGUGAGUCUCGUGAGACUUUUUGCAUGUACCUUAUGAGUAAGGACCGGCUAAUUCCGUGCCAGCAGCCGCGGUAAUACGGAAGGUCCGGGCGUUAUCCGGAUUUAUUGGGUUUAAAGGGAGCGUAGGCCGGAGAUUAAGCGUGUUGUGAAAUGUAGACGCUCAACGUCUGCACUGCAGCGCGAACUGGUUUCCUUGAGUACGCACAAAGUGGGCGGAAUUCGUGGUGUAGCGGUGAAAUGCUUAGAUAUCACGAAGAACUCCGAUUGCGAAGGCAGCUCACUGGAGCGCAACUGACGCUGAAGCUCGAAAGUGCGGGUAUCGAACAGGAUUAGAUACCCUGGUAGUCCGCACGGUAAACGAUGGAUGCCCGCUGUUGGUCUGAAUAGGUCAGCGGCCAAGCGAAAGCAUUAAGCAUCCCACCUGGGGAGUACGCCGGCAACGGUGCAACUCAAAUGAAUUGACGGA